This 352-nucleotide ribosomal RNA is filed under the name uncultured bacterium. Its description in RNAcentral is "bacterial SSU rRNA". It matches the Rfam family "Bacterial small subunit ribosomal RNA", at positions 917 to 1271 of the family's 1533-position model. The record is from RNAcentral.
GGGCCCGCACAAGCGGAGGAACAUGUGGUUUAAUUCGAUGAUACGCGAGGAACCUUACCAAGACUUAAAUGUAGAUUGACAGAUUGUGAAAACAGUUUUUCUUCGGACAAUUUACAAGGUGCUGCAUGGUUGUCGUCAGCUCGUGCCGUGAGGUGUCGGGUUAAGUCCCAUAACGAGCGCAACCCCUAUUUUUAGUUACCAGCGAGUAAUGUCGGGAACUCUAGAAAGACUGCCUGUGUAAACAGUGAGGAAGGUGGGGAUGACGUCAAAUCAUCACGGCCCUUAUGUCUUGGGCUACACACGUGUUACAAUGGUUACUACAGUGGGCUGCCAUCUGGCAACAGAGAGCAAA